RNAcentral lists this long non-coding RNA (301 nucleotides) under Panax ginseng (ginseng). RNAcentral's name for it is "long non-coding RNA (PGIN_LNC015330)". Lineage: Eukaryota; Viridiplantae; Streptophyta; Magnoliopsida; Apiales; Araliaceae. The record is from RNAcentral.
AUUAAAAAAAGAAUAGAAUUAAGUCGACUAACUCUUUUCCACAUCUUGAGGUGUCUCCGUUGCGGUGACAGAUGAGAUGAUCAGAAGGAGACCAAAAAGAAGACCGAGGAAUAGAUAAACUUUAGUCUUCAUUUUUGUUCUUCGUAACUAGCUGGCUAGUCCUUAAUUAAACUGUAAAAUAGAAAACUUUAAAGAAAGACCGAUGUUGGGAAAGUAUGGGAAUGCAAGCCUUUCUUUAUUUUGCAUCUAUUUAUAGAGUAGUAGGAGUAGUGCUAUAUUAGAUAUGACUGGCGCAAGGAUA